GAAAUGCGAUAAGUAAUGUGAAUUGCAGAAUUCAGUGAAUCAUCGAAUCUUUGAACGCACAUUGCGCCCCCUGGUAUUCCGGGGGGCAUGCCUGUUCGAGCGUCAUUUCACCACUCAAGCCUCGCUUGGUAUUGGGCGACGCGGUCCGCCGCGCGCCUCAAAUCGGCCGGCUGGGUCUUCCGUCCCCUCAGCGUUGUGGAAACUAUUCGCUAAAGGGUGCCGCGGGAGGUCACGCCGCAAAACAACCCCAUUUCUAAGGUUGACCUCGGAUCAGGUAGGGAUACCCGCUGAACUUAAGC
RNAcentral lists this unclassified non-coding RNA (299 nucleotides) under plant metagenome. Its description in RNAcentral is "partial contains 5.8S ribosomal RNA, internal transcribed spacer 2, and large subunit ribosomal RNA". The stretch from base 1 to 105 matches the Rfam family "5.8S ribosomal RNA", at positions 50 to 154 of the family's 154-position model. The record is from RNAcentral.